GAGUAAUACAUCGGACUGUCCUUAAGUGGGGAAUACGCAUCGAAAGAUGUGCUAAUACCGCAUAUCUCUCAGGAGGAAAGCAGGGGAUCGAAAGACCUUGCGCUAAAGGAGCGGCUGAUGUCUGAUUAGCUAGUUGGUGGGGUAAAGGCUUACCAAGGCAACGAUCAGUAGCUGGUCUGAGAGGACGACCACCCACACUGGGACUGAGACACGGCCCAGACUCCUACGGGAGGCAGCAGUGGGGAAUUUUGGACAACGGGCGAAAGCCUGAUCCAGCCAUGCCGCGUGAGUGAAGAAGGCCUUCGGGUUGUAAAGCUCUUUUAGUCGGAAAGAAAGAGUCAUAGUAAAUAGCUAUGAUUUAUGACGGUACCGACAGAAAAAG
RNAcentral lists this ribosomal RNA (382 nucleotides) under uncultured beta proteobacterium PV3G. RNAcentral describes it as "bacterial SSU rRNA". It matches the Rfam family "Bacterial small subunit ribosomal RNA", at positions 108 to 490 of the family's 1533-position model. The record is from RNAcentral. Lineage: Bacteria; Pseudomonadati; Pseudomonadota; Betaproteobacteria; Nitrosomonadales; Nitrosomonadaceae.